GUACACGCUGUGACUAGCAUAUCAAUAAGCGGAGGAAAAGAAACUAACAAGGAUUCCCCUAGUAACGGCGAGUGAAGCGGGAAGAGCUCAAAUUUGAAAUCUUAAAGGGUUUCCCUUUACGAAUUGUAGUUUAAAGAAGUGUUUUCUGUUGAGGUUUUGGUAAAAGUUCUUUGGAAUAGGACAUCAUAGAGGGUGAGAAUCCCGUAUUUGACCUUUACUUUCAACUUUGUGAUACACUUUCAAAGAGUCGGAUUGUUUGGGAAUGCAGUCCAAAAUGGGUGGUAAAUUUCAUCUAAAGCUAAAUAUUGGCGAGAGACCGAUAGCGAACAAGUACCGUGAGGGAAAGAUGAAAAGAACUUUGAAAAGAGAGUUAAACAGUACGUGAAAUCGUCAAAAGGGAAGCGUUUGACACCAGUGUUGUUUUUCUGAAAAUCAAUUAAAGAACUGUUUAUGCUAAGUUGUUUAGACUUUAUCAGCUAACUGUUUAGUUUUGAGCUUUUCUUUAAUGCACUUUUCAGUUAACAAGUCAGCAUCAAUUUCUUUUGCUGUAAAAAAGCUUGAGGAAGGUGGCUUGAGAUUCGUCUUAAGUGUUUAUAGCCUCUUGCCUAUGCAGUCGGAGAGAUUGAGGUCUGCAGCGUAGAUCCUUCGGGGCUAAAUGCAUUUGUGCUAAGUUAUAGCAUUUUAUAGACAACUUGUUGACUAUGAUUUGUCUUGUAGCUUACUCGCUUAUGUUAUUUUACCUACGCUUAGGAUGUUGACGCGCGUGUGUGCGUG
Molecule: ribosomal RNA, 774 nt
Filed under: uncultured Neocallimastigales
Lineage: Eukaryota; Fungi; Neocallimastigomycota; Neocallimastigomycetes; Neocallimastigales
Description: partial large subunit ribosomal RNA
Rfam family: Eukaryotic large subunit ribosomal RNA
Source: RNAcentral